RNAcentral lists this ribosomal RNA (250 nucleotides) under uncultured bacterium. RNAcentral's name for it is "partial 16S ribosomal RNA". It matches the Rfam family "Bacterial small subunit ribosomal RNA", at positions 105 to 339 of the family's 1533-position model. The record is from RNAcentral.
GGUGAGUAACGCGUAGAUAAUCUACCUUUAAGACAGGGAUAACGGACCGAAAGGUCCCCUAAUACCUGAUACGUUCUUUUUAACCUAAGUUAGAAAGAAGAAAGAUGGCCUCUCCUUGGAAGCUAUUACUUGAAGAUGAGUCUGCGUACCAUUAGCUAGUUGGUGGGGUAAGAGCCUACCAAGGCUACGAUGGUUAGCGGGUCUGAGAGGAUGAUCCGCCACACUGGAACUGAAACACGGACCAGACUCC